Branchiostoma belcheri (Belcher's lancelet) is the source of this 548-nucleotide long non-coding RNA. RefSeq lists it as uncharacterized. The transcript is spliced from 4 exons. NCBI's taxonomy places the organism in Eukaryota, Metazoa, Chordata, Leptocardii, Amphioxiformes, Branchiostomatidae. The record is from RefSeq and is a predicted model, not a curated record.
CAGUUUGGUGAAGAAGAGACACCGGUUAGAUCGUCGAGUCCACCCAAUCGUCAGCUGCCCAGAAGAAUCAAGACAUCAGUGAGAGGCAAGAAGUUUUCUCCGGCAGUCCAGGCUAACUACAAGCCCAGAGGACACCAUGAGGUACCUCCUGUUAGUAGUCAUCACGCUGCUUUGUGUGGCCCUGGUGACAUCGAUAGGCCCGAGGCGGACUCCACCGAGGCGAACCCCCCCGAGGCGGAGUGUCCGAAUGCGAACUUCAGUCCCUACGCAUGCGCCACAUCCACAUCCACAAACGAGGCAACCGUUACAUGGACAUCACCCUACCUGCCAAGAUCUGCCCAGUGGCACCUACCCCGACCUGGAGGACUGCACCAAGUUUUACAUGUGCAGCAAUGGAAUAUCAUCGAGUUUUUCCUGUCCAGACGGUCUCCUUUUUGACAUCAAAACCUUGCGAUGUGAGUGGCCUGAAGAAGCAACAUGCGCGACAUCCGUGAAAGAAAAGAAACGUACACCUGCACCAUUACCUACCAAGAAAAUUUACAGUUCAG